GAUGAACGCCGGCGGCGUGCCUAAUACAUGCAAGUCGAGCGAACGGACGAGAAGCUUGCUUCUCUGAUGUUAGCGGCGGACGGGUGAGUAACACGUGGAUAGCCUACCUAUAAGACUGGGAUAACUUCGGGAAACCGGAGCUAAUACCGGAUAAUAUUUUGAACCGCAUGGUUCAAAAGUGAAAGACGGUCUUGCUGUCACUUAUAGAUGGAUCCGCGCUGCAUUAGCUAGUUGGUAAGGUAACGGCUUACCAAGGCAACGAUGCAUAGCCGACCUGAGAGGGUGAUCGGCCACACUGGAACUGAGACACGGUCCAGACUCCUACGGGAGGCAGCAGUAGGGAAUCUUCCGCAAUGGGCGAAAGCCUGACGGAGCAACGCCGCGUGAGUGAUGAAGGUCUUCGGAUCGUAAAACUCUGUUAUUAGGGAAGAACAUAUGUGUAAGUAACUGUGCACAUCUUGACGGUACCUAAUCAGAAAGCCACGGCUAACUACGUG
Molecule: ribosomal RNA, 497 nt
Filed under: uncultured bacterium
Lineage: Bacteria
Description: partial 16S ribosomal RNA
Rfam family: Bacterial small subunit ribosomal RNA
Source: RNAcentral